UACACGACAGUUUGAAGCGUACUUCGACGCUGGAAGCACCCAGAUAGAACUUCGAUAGCUAUUGAAAUGCGAUUUCUGCUGCCCAUGUUGUUUAUGGCAGUUUGUACUGCGGUGCUAUCGACUCAAUCGGAAGAAACCGGCACUUGCAGCCCUUGGAAUGGAAUGUGUACAGUGUCUGAAGAUUGUUGUCGCCAUCUUGUUUGCCUUACAUAUGCAGCUAAAUGUGUGCCAAAUUUAGUGUAUAUUCCAGGACAAGACAAAAGACCUAUUGGAAAUGGACCAUUUCCUCCUGGUUAUCCAAGCGAUUGAGUACUAUGUAAAAUUAUUUACGUUUUCGCUUUUCCCCUUAAACUCUUUAUUUAUCCAUAACAAAAAAGAUACUUUAACAUGUUUCAUUUUUGUUUAAUAAAUUUUGAUGCCUUUUAACAAAUCGUAUAAAUAUGUAUCCUCGUUCGAAUUGAACAUUCCUUAUUGUAUAAAAAGAAAACAAGCAAUAAAAUACUUAAAAAUAUCAAUACAUAUUUCCUCGUCUUCGUUGUUACUAUAAUAGCUGAAUCAUAUGGAACCGUGAAUCAACGGCUAAAAAGAAAUAAGUGACUGAUAAAAAUAUCUGCUGAUAGCAACGCAAAAGUAAUAUUAAGAUAAGAAAUACUUCUCACAGAAAUUUUUUUUUGUAAAACGUUUCAAUUUUCACUUGUCCUAUGCGAAGGUUCAUUGUGAUAUCAGUUUCAUCAUAUCACGAGUCUUAUUUCUGACUGUUAGCAUACGUUGUUAUUUAAAUAAACGAAAAAUUAUCACUGCUCGUUUAUAUUACAUAUAACAUAGCAACAUAAUUUGAAACUUCAUCCGUUCCUGCGGAUAUUGCGUAGAAAAUGUCAAAGUUUUCAAAUGACCUAAUCUUUUGACAGUUUAGUGGUAGUAUCAUCGUAACGAUAAGUAAACGAAAUUGUAUAACAAACAAACAACGAGAUGCGUUAAAAAAUUUUUAAUUUUGAAAUUGCAAAGUUGUGACGUUGUAUGGUGAUGUUUUUCAAAAGCAGAUUUACCAAGGAGGGAAAGAAAGCUACGGUUGCGGCGCGCCGGCUCGUUAUAACCAGAAAAAAAGAGAUAAAAAUAUACUUGUUGCACGUAUACACGUUGUGUACAUUCAACUUUCAAGGACGAACUGUAUCACGUAUUUUCCAUUUCCGACAGACUUCUUAGUUUUCCCAUCGUAUCUGUUUUGGAAAGUAUGACGAAAUAUGUUGAAAGACAGUUAUAUACAUGUUAUAGUUAUAUACAUGCAAUCUACAUAACAAUUAUAACUAAAAGAUAAAAAUUUGCUCAUUAUUAA
RNA transcript from Bombus impatiens (common eastern bumble bee), 1333 nucleotides. RefSeq lists it as uncharacterized. Lineage: Eukaryota; Metazoa; Arthropoda; Insecta; Hymenoptera; Apidae. The transcript is spliced from 4 exons. The record is from RefSeq and is a predicted model, not a curated record.